This 279-nucleotide ribosomal RNA is filed under the name uncultured bacterium. RNAcentral's name for it is "partial 16S ribosomal RNA". It matches the Rfam family "Bacterial small subunit ribosomal RNA", at positions 506 to 784 of the family's 1533-position model. The record is from RNAcentral.
UGCCAGCAGCCGCGGUAAUACGCACGCUCCAACCGUCAUCCGGAAUCAUUGGGUUUAAAGGGUUCGCAGACGGCCUAUUAAGUCAGUGAUAAAAUCUCUCGGCUCAACCGAGAAACUGCCAUUGAUACUGAUAGGCUUGAAUAUAAUUGGAGUAAACGGAAUGCGUAGUGUAGCAAUGAAAUGCUUAGAUAUUACACAGAACACCGAUAGCGAAGGCAGCUUACUAAACUAUUAUUGACGCUCAUGAACGAAAGCGUGGGGAGCGAACAGGAUUAGAUA